AAGGGGGACCUAAUUCAGGUAGGAGACGAAAAAAAAGUAGUCGCUACCAAGAAUCAAUCCCAAAAGGUCGGAGCGAGGCGAAAUUGGCUUUCAAACUAGGUUCUGGGUUCAAACAAGACCUGAAUCAGGAACAAGGGCUAUUAGCUCAGGUGGUUAGAGCGCACCCCUGAUAAGGGUGAGGUCCCUGGUUCGAGUCCAGGAUGGCCCACCUGCACAGGUGGCAAAAACAAGAGAAGCGAGGAAUCAGCACCUUAUCUUACUGACAUAGUAAGAGAGAAUGCUGGCUCUGAGUAAAGAGUCCAGAGGAACCUUGAAAACUGCAUAGAGCUAGGUGAAAAAGCCAAAAAAGAAGACCGCAA
Molecule: transfer RNA, 359 nt
Filed under: Microcystis sp. BG03
Lineage: Bacteria; Bacillati; Cyanobacteriota; Cyanophyceae; Chroococcales; Microcystaceae
Description: 16S-23S ribosomal RNA intergenic spacer
Rfam family: tRNA (bases 135-208)
Source: RNAcentral